Molecule: long non-coding RNA, 309 nt
Filed under: Linum usitatissimum (flax)
Lineage: Eukaryota; Viridiplantae; Streptophyta; Magnoliopsida; Malpighiales; Linaceae
Description: long non-coding RNA (LUSI_LNC001014)
Source: RNAcentral
AUUUUGGAGCUGAAGCAUUGUGGAUUUCUGGUUUGGGUGGACUAGCAUUUUGGGUGAGGGUACUGCCUGCUCGUUUCUCAGUCGGUUGUGGCAAGGGAGAACAAAUGCUCUGGACUUUAGCAGCAUCUACUGUAAUAGAAACCUUCAAUUCUGGUUUAACUUGAAUAGUCCCGGCUGGAGUUUUCGAAGGACUUCUCGGAGAGGUCAGUAUAGAUUUUGCCGUUUCUCUAGAGUGUUUCUCCAAUUCAACAAUGGUUGCGGUACUUGGCUUCCUAGACGGCAAAGCAACUUUCUCAUCCUGUCAGACCG